GAACACGCGUUCCAUCCUCGAAGGCAGUAUGCUUUAAAUGAUCUCCAUCUUCUUUUGCCAGAUUGUACGCGUAAAUUUGAGAUCCAAUCCCUGCACAGGAAGCGCAGAUCACGACUGGAUCGUUCAGAAAAACUAUGAAGAGAAGCACCCUGUGCACAUUUGUUCCGCACCUGCUAGCACGUAGAUGUCUUUGAUGCCUGACUCUAAACACCACAGCGUAGUCACAUCUCCUGUGAAGUCACGGCGAUACAAUGGCAUCGAUCUACAAAUCUACGACUUCGCGUGUUCUGGUGGGCAAGCUUCGAUGUUCUGCAGAUCAGCCGUACUAGUCAUUCCGUGACAAUCACAUAUGUUUCAUAUG
This 361-nucleotide long non-coding RNA is filed under the name Coccomyxa subellipsoidea. RNAcentral describes it as "long non-coding RNA (CSUB_LNC000091)". The record is from RNAcentral. Lineage: Eukaryota; Viridiplantae; Chlorophyta; Trebouxiophyceae; Coccomyxaceae.